CGUGAGUGGGACUGCAGAGGUCUCCUAAGAAGUGACAUUGUGACCAGCUUUAGAGUUUCCAAAGGAGUUUCAGGUACAUGACCUCGACUCAGUCUCAGGAGAGGCAUGACAGGUAAAACAUAUUCACAUGAAAUUAAGAGAUGGAGUAUUUCAUUGAGAUUAAAAGAAAGCCAUUAAAAGGAAUGAUAAAUUGUGAAAACCGGGUGUGACUGCCUAGCCAGACAUGUACUUCCAAGAUCAGAGACUACGUGCUUCAGUUCAUAAACACAGAGGAAAACCGGCUGGCCUAAUUUAAUGGUGCCCUGGGUGAAGUUUUCAGGGCUUUGCAGGAAAUCUCAGAGGCUCAUUGAUACAAAGAAGUCAGCAAGAAUCAUGACCGAUACUGAGUUUAAUGUGAGAGUUAGGGCACAAAAUGAAAACCAAAAUGGAGGUUUUCGGUUCAAAGAAGAAUUACGAAGAUAUAAAGAAAAUUCUCAUAAUUUAAAGAUUACUAUAAAACAUAAACGGUUUCUGUGCUUUCUAUCACACCACCAACGCUCUGUCUGGCAGAAGCUGGGACCACGGCUGCUGUCUUUCUUCCACACCGAAGAGCUGUGCUGUGCAAAGUAUUGCUUCAUGCUGCUUCCCUGAUCUGCUUUGCAUAACUGCCUGGAAGAAAGUACUUUUAUGGAUAAUCCAAAAGAGGGAAAUAUAUUGAACUUUGUUUGCUUUAGCAUAUUUUAUGGGUUAAAUCCAUUUAAAAUACUAUUACAGUGAAAUUCUACAUAGAGAAAGCAUUUCUCAUGUUUUAACCAAUGGUCAACUAGUUUUAGAGCAUAUCUGAUACAUUGUAAUUAGAAAAGAACCCAAUAAUUAGGAUUGUUUCUUAAAAACAUGGGAUUUUAGUGUUCUGUAGGAGUUCCUGAUUCAGUUUAAGGCAGAGGUCUUAGAGGUAAUAUAGUCCAGGGAUACAA
Molecule: long non-coding RNA, 953 nt
Filed under: Equus caballus (horse)
Lineage: Eukaryota; Metazoa; Chordata; Mammalia; Perissodactyla; Equidae
Description: lncRNA (ENSECAG00000035702.3)
Source: RNAcentral